GUGUUCAUCUCAGGUUCCUGUCAUUAUUCAAAGUUGGUUCACAAUAUCAUAUCAGGCAAAAUCACAAACCCUACUGCCACGUCUGCUUUGUUAAGCUCCUCAGCUAGACUCUGUACCGGUUUGCCAAUCUGUGUGUACAUGUCUCUACACUUUUAAUGUCUAAAUGCACAUCUGGAUGUAUGUGCACUUGUAUGUCUAUCUGCAUCUAUGAGUCAGUGGUUUGUCAGAUAUAAGGCGUUAAUGUGAGAAAUGUUUCCUGACUAUUAACUCCUGAUACUCAAGGAACUUUCCUGUUUGCCGAACUUCCUAGGUUUGGCCUUUUACACUUUUACUAAAGAAAUUUUAACAGAGCCCAAAAAGAUUUUUAUUUUGCUCCUGUGCUUGACAGGUUAAGCGAAGUUGUUUUUUGUUUUGUUUUGAAAUUUUCCCUUCUGUGUGUGUGUGUGUACGUAAGUAAGAAUAUAAUAAUCAACAUAAGAUCCCUGGUUUGCAAAUGAUUUUCUGCCCCCGCUGCAGGGCAACAUCAUGUGGUGGUGAGUCUAUGUUGGCUAGUUUAAUGCAAAUAUGUAACAGUUGCUUCAUUACAUUGCCCACUCAGAGUUGCGCAGUUUCAAAGUAUGUGGAGAAUUCAAUACACAUUUCUUGGCUAAUUAUUUUCCCAAUAAAAGUGAAAUCAUACAUUGCAUUUGAUUUCACUUAUAUAUUAUCCUGUUCUGGGCUCUAUCCAUUAUAUUAACUUUAUUCAAUCUCAAUACUCCUUAUGUGUGUGAGCAACGCUUUUAGUUUUAUUAAACACCACCCCAGUAAAAUGCACACCAUCCCCAUGUCAGCCUAAAUCUCCGCUAAAAAGCACACUUCAAAGUUUUCUAUCUGGAUUUACGCUUCUUUUGGCCUCAAGCAUAUACAUAACAUGCAAAGGUUACUGUUAAUGCCCGUUAGACAAGUUUCCAUUAUCUACAACAUUUUGUUUCACCCGGCUCACCCUUACACAUUUCCUGUUCACUUAUUGCAUAUUUAUCUUUAACACCUUUUACCUCAGUAGUUGCUUUGUUUCUGCUUAGCAACUACUGAGGUAAAUGGUGUUAAAGAUAAAUAUGCAAUAAGUGAACAAGAAAUGUGUGAGGGUGAGCCGGGUGAAACAAAAUGUUGUAGAUAAUGGAAACUUGUCUAACGGGCAUUAACAGUAACCUUUGCAUGUUAUGUAUAUGCUUGAGGCCAAAGGAGGCAUAAAUCCAGAUAGAAAACUUUGAAGUGUGC
Oreochromis aureus is the source of this 1257-nucleotide long non-coding RNA. Lineage: Eukaryota; Metazoa; Chordata; Actinopteri; Cichliformes; Cichlidae. The record is from Ensembl.